This 249-nucleotide ribosomal RNA is filed under the name uncultured bacterium. RNAcentral's name for it is "partial 16S ribosomal RNA". It matches the Rfam family "Bacterial small subunit ribosomal RNA", at positions 524 to 771 of the family's 1533-position model. The record is from RNAcentral.
UACGAAGGGGGCUAGCGUUGCUCGGAAUCACUGGGCGUAAAGCGCACGUAGGCGGCUUUCUAAGUCAGGGGUGAAAUCCUGGAGCUCAACUCCAGAACUGCCUUUGAUACUGGAGAGCUCGAGUCCGGAAGAGGUGAGUGGAACUGCGAGUGUAGAGGUGAAAUUCGUAGAUAUUCGCAAGAACACCGGUGGCGAAGGCGGCUACACUGGCCCGGAACUGACGCUGAGGCACGAAAGCGUGGGGAGCAA